This is a long non-coding RNA of Falco peregrinus (peregrine falcon), 1623 nucleotides long. RefSeq lists it as uncharacterized. NCBI's taxonomy places the organism in Eukaryota, Metazoa, Chordata, Aves, Falconiformes, Falconidae. The transcript has 2 exons. The record is from RefSeq and is a predicted model, not a curated record.
UCAGAAUAAUUGAAAGAAGAGGGAAAAAAAUAGUGAGUCCACUAACUUUUAAUCCCUGCUUUCAACUUAACUCUGCUGCCUGUUACAUAUUCUUUCCAGAGAAAAGUAGUGAAGUAUGCUACAAAACAUCCAUGUCUAAGCAGAAGCCCCAGCCAUGCUUCCAGAUGACAAUCCCUGAGCAGAGGGCACAGAAGUGCCAGGAGCCUGUUUCUGAAUUCACCCUCCCUUAGUGGAAAACUUCUGCUGGCAUUUGUUGGUUGGACUUUGGGAUUUUAUAGCGUUACUCUGCUAGCAAAGGCUAUAACAAAGGCGUCACUACAAUGGCAAAAAGUGCACUGCCAAUUUUUGUUUACUUACAGAGCUGCCAGAAGCUAUUUACACAUACAGCCACGACAGCAUUUUGCUAGGACUAGAGAUUGUCCCAGAAAAUCUGUUAUCACCAGUCCUUCACAGGACAGCUAUUCCUCCCUCUUCUACCUUCCUAGCAUCAUUUAUCACUUUGGGAGGUGGAUUUAUGGUAGCCCCGGUGCUGCUUUGAUCAUUGCUCCCCACCAAAUCAGGUAGGGUCAUUACAGAAGCUUUGCUAAAUAUUUUGGGCAUCUAUCAGCCCUGCUAGUUCCUCUCAGAGCUCUGGACGAGGUGGGCACUCUCCCAGUUACAAACAGCAACAGAGCAGUCUGCUGUGCCCAGUGCCAUGGGGCCACUAGCCUAGCAAAAAGCAGGGCCAUGCUGUGACUAAUGCAGAAAUGUAAUCCCCUCCUCCUUGAAAUUUCUCUGUGGAAGAGGAAUAAAUGCAGAAGUGCUUAUAAAAGUUAGCAUUAUAGCACUUUUCAUUUUUUUCAGGGAUAAUCUGCUUUCCCUCUAAACGCUUAGGCAACACAAUGCCUGGCUAUUCCCUAAACACCUAAAAAGCAAGUUUCUCUGCAGCCCCAUCCAAAGCAGGCCAGUUUUAUAAUACUCUCUCAGUUUGCUGCAGCUCAAGCAGCGAGAGAUGCCUGGCAGUGAGGUACUGCUGCGGCAGGUUUCUUGGGCUGGGGCUCCCGUGUUCAGCUGCAUCCCAGCAGAGGCUGGUGCUGGGCUGUGGGGAGCUGCGCGUGUCCAUGGGCUGGGGACAGGUGUCCCACAGGCAGAGCUGUAUUUGCUGCUGGCCAGACCAUGUACGUGUGCUGUUGGGAAGCAACUUGCAUGCCACAAAUGACACACAUUGAAUCCUUGCCAAAAAGCACAACCUGCCUCUGGUGCUGCUUCCCCUCCAGCAUAUGCUCUGUAAGAGCUAAUGCUGCCGCCAUGGGCUGCUGAAGUUCAAAGUAAACACUGUAAUGUGGAGAACAGGGUGACAGUGCUUUGCGUGGCAGGGACAAAUCUUAAACACUCUACACAGCUUCAGAAAGAUCUGAUUUUGGGAGUCUGCCCACAGUUCAGGAAAUACAAAACCCUGUAACUGGAGCUGCCAGCACAUGGCAUAAAGACUAUCCCGCUGGGUCUCUGUGGGUGCUCAGAGAGUAAAAACCUGACAGGGAGAUCGAUACUGGCCCCAGUCCCUCUCCCAGCUGGAGUCCCAGUCCAGUCUGGAGCAGGAAGACCAACAGGAUGUGCCCUAACAGCAUGUAGGGACAUCACAGA